AUCCCUAACAAGCAAAGAAUUGGUUCACAGCAGUGCACGGUCUUUAGCAAUGUGGCCAUAGAUCCGAUACAGAAUGAGCAACAUGUCUCCGAUAUAAGGAAGUCUGGAACGGUUAUACCGAUUAUACUCAGAAGGUUCUAUUAACUUUCAGAGCGAUGCAGAUUUACUUUAGCAUAAACCACAUCGUAAUUCAUGGAAUUAAACCAUAUAUAUAUAUCACAAUAUGAUUUGUACUUAAGCACUAUAUAUUUUACUUAAAAAGAAUAUUAUAUAUAUAUGGUACUCUGUUUUGUGACGAUGCCGUUUUAUGCCAUAUAUAACCUAUGAAACUUGUCUCUCUGGGCAGCCCUAGGAAAGUAUUGGGCUUUUAAUAUUAGACCGCAUUUUUUUAAGAAUGUGUAAAACAAGAUCUCCAUUAAAAGGUGCGCAUUUAAACCGAUUUUUUUUGAGUAAAAACUUACAAUGGCGAAUAUUAACCGUGCAAUGCACGUGACACAGUAUACAUUGGCACGUUUCCAAAUGUACGUCUUCAUCUGACCUAUUAAUGCAUAACUUGUGUUUAAUGUGACAUUUGACCCGUGGCACAGUGACGUGCUAUGAGCUUCGGGUAGUUUCCUCGCUUUAUUCGUGGCCUCUCGUUCUGACUUUAUAAACUGCUGAGAAGAUAACGGGCACCUCAACCUGACAUGCUUACAGAAAUAAAGAUUUUAAUGAUGUAUGCUGCCGCAAAGCGACCGAUUUCACGACAAACGCAGGUGAUAUUACAGCUGAUUCUGAUUAUUUCAAACACUGGGUCGUGAUCUGCAGGAGAAAUUGUGCAGAAGCAUCAACAACAGUUAAAGGCAAGGACUAGGAGCCUUUUUUUUGGCAAAUGAGGCAAGCCGGAAUCUUGAAGGCCUGUUCAUCAUGCAUCAACUGUUCCCAUUGGCGUCUUUUCCUUAUUUACAAAGUCCUCAGUGUCACUCAGAGAGAGAAGCAAGAUUAUGGAUCACGGCCCGAUUUAAAAACAAAGGAUCACGGGCUUUGGUUCUGUGUAUGUAUGUGUGUCAAUCAGUGUGCAAGAAAAAGAGAAGGGGUGUGUGUGUGUGUGUGUGUCUGUGUGUGUUUUGGGGUGGGGGGUGUGGGUGGGGGCGAGGGUUGAACUGGAGAAUAAAAUCACGGAUAAAAUAUACAGCGGGCACAGUUCAGUACACCAUCAGCCAGUUCUCCACUUAAUUCAAUGUCUGUACUUGAUUUCAAAUGCUGUGCAUUAAACAAU
Long non-coding RNA from Mobula hypostoma (lesser devil ray), 1258 nucleotides. RefSeq lists it as uncharacterized. NCBI's taxonomy places the organism in Eukaryota, Metazoa, Chordata, Chondrichthyes, Myliobatiformes, Myliobatidae. The transcript is spliced from 3 exons. The record is from RefSeq and is a predicted model, not a curated record.